GGGGGAAUGGUCUUGUGGUCAAAGCAUUAGACUGGGGUUCAGAAGAUGUGGGUUGAAAUCCUGCUUCUGCCA
This 72-nucleotide transfer RNA is filed under the name Chelonia mydas (Green sea turtle). It matches the Rfam family "tRNA". From Rfam's summary of the family: Transfer RNA (tRNA) molecules are approximately 80 nucleotides in length. Their secondary structure includes four short double-helical elements and three loops (D, anti-codon, and T loops). Lineage: Eukaryota; Metazoa; Chordata; Testudines; Cheloniidae. The record is from Rfam by way of RNAcentral.